UUAGUGGAGAGUUUGAUCCUGGCUCAGGACGAACGCUGGCGGCGUGCUUAACACAUGCAAGUCGAACGCUGAAGCUUGGUGCUUGCACUGGGUGGAUGAGUGGCGAACGGGUGAGUAUCACGUGAGUAACCUGCCCCUGACUUCGGGAUAAGCCUGGGAAACUGGGUCUAAUACCGGAUAUGACCAUCUUUCGCAUGUUGGGUGGUGGAAAGUUUUUUCGGUUGGGGAUGGGCUCGCGGCCUAUCAGUUUGUUGGUGGGGUAAUGGCCUACCAAGACGACGACGGGUAGCCGGCCUGAGAGGGCGACCGGCCACACUGGGACUGAGACACGGCCCAGACUCCUACGGGAGGCAGCAGUGGGGAAUAUUGCACAAUGGGGGAAACCCUGAUGCAGCGACGCCGCGUGGGGGAUGACGGCCUUCGGGUUGUAAACCUCUUUCAGUAGGGAAGAAGCCUUUGGGUGACGGUACCUGCAGAAGAAGUACCGGCUAACUACGUGCCAGCAGCCGCGGUAAUACGUAGGGUACAAGCGUUGUCCGGAAUUAUUGGGCGUAAAGAGCUCGUAGGUGGUUUGUCGCGUCUGCUGUGGAAUCGUNNNNNNNNNNNNNNNNNNNNNNNNNNNNNAAGGAAUUGACGGGGGCCCGCACAAGCGGCGGAGCAUGCGGAUUAAUUCGAUGCAACGCGAAGAACCUUACCAAGGCUUGACAUGCACUGGAAUCGCCUAGAGAUAGGUGCGCCCUUCGGGGCUGGUGUACAGGUGGUGCAUGGUUGUCGUCAGCUCGUGUCGUGAGAUGUUGGGUUAAGUCCCGCAACGAGCGCAACCCUCGUUCUAUGUUGCCAGCACGUGAUGGUGGGAACUCAUGGGAGACUGCCGGGGUCAACUCGGAGGAAGGUGGGGAUGACGUCAAAUCAUCAUGCCCUUUAUGUCUUGGGCUUCACGCAUGCUACAAUGGUCGGUACAGAGGGUGGCGAUGCCGUGAGGUGGAGCGAAUCCCUUAAAGCCGGUCUCAGUUCGGAUCGUAGUCUGCAACUCGACUACGUGAAGUCGGAGUCGCUAGUAAUCGCAGAUCAGCAAUGCUGCGGUGAAUACGUUCCCGGGCCUUGUACACACCGCCCGUCAAGUCACGAAAGUCGGUAACACCCGAAGCCGGUGGCCUAACCCUUGUGGGGGGAGCCGUCGAAGGUGGGACCGGUGAUUGGGACUAAGUCGUAACAAGGUAGCCGUACCGGAAGGUGCGGCUGGAUCACCUCCUUUCUAAGGAG
Molecule: ribosomal RNA, 1263 nt
Filed under: Brevibacterium paucivorans
Lineage: Bacteria; Bacillati; Actinomycetota; Actinomycetes; Micrococcales; Brevibacteriaceae
Description: 16S ribosomal RNA
Rfam family: Bacterial small subunit ribosomal RNA
Source: RNAcentral